AAACAACCCACGACGAUACGAUUGUCUUAUCAUUCUACCUUUGUGGCACCGAGAGAAUCAACCAUGUCCACAAAAUUAUUCGCAGUUAUGUUGGUUGCCAUGCUUGUGAUAAUGGCGCAGUGCAAUGAUGCAGCAUCCAUCGACAACACUGCAAAAGAGACGUCUAGACCAAUGUUUAAAAAAGAGUUAAGCUUUUGCUGGCUGCCGGAUAAACACAUGUUUUGUGAGUGUGAAACCUUUUCGGUCUGCCAACCAGCGUCCGCUUUCCUUGGAUAGAAAUGUUCCGCUACCGGUUUUAGUUUCAAUGAUGGCGAUAAAUCAUCUACGACAACUCGAAUGUCUUUCUUCGAUGCUAUGUACUUUAAACGCCUAUAAUAUUUAGCCUUCUCGAUUAUGUCUCGUCGACCAUAUUAGAUCAUAUUAUUUUGAAUAUAUUAAUACUGCAGUUUCUGGUAGUAUGUAAUUUAUUCGUCAUAUUUGCUUAAAUUUUGUGAAACCAGCCCCGAGUUAGUAAAACAGUACGUCAAACGUGGUGAAAGUAUCCACAUGUAGUGCUCUCGACAUAUAGUUAAUAAAAGAGACAUAAUUAUAUU
This is a long non-coding RNA of Saccoglossus kowalevskii, 593 nucleotides long. RefSeq lists it as uncharacterized. NCBI's taxonomy places the organism in Eukaryota, Metazoa, Hemichordata, Enteropneusta, Harrimaniidae. The record is from RefSeq and is a predicted model, not a curated record.